GUGAGGAGGAAGCCCCGGCUAACUACGUGCCAGCAGCCGCGGUAAAACGUAGGGGGCGAGCGUUGUCCGGAAUUACUGGGCGUAAAGGGCGCGUAGGCGGUUAUCCAAGUCAGGGGUGAAAACUCUGGGCUCAACUCAGAGCCUGCCUCUGAAACUGGGUGACUUGAGGGCAGGAGAGGGGAGUGGAAUUCCCAGUGUAGCGGUGAAAUGCGUAGAUAUUGGGAGGAACACCAGUGGCGAAGGCGGCUCUCUGGCCUAACCCUGACGCUGAGGCGCGAAAGCGUGGGGAUCAAACAGGAUUAGAUACCCUGGUAGUCCACGCCGUAAACGAUGGGUGCUAGGUGUAGGAGGUAUCGACCCCUUCUGUGCCGUAGUUAACACAAUAAGCACCCCGCCUGGGGAGUACGGCCGCAAGGUUGAAACUCAAAGGAAUUGACGGGGGCCCGCACAAGCGGUGGAGCAUGUGGUUUAAUUCGACGCAACGCGAAGAACCUUACCAGGGUUUGACAUAGCAGUGGUAGGGAAGAGAAAUCGGACCGACCCUUCGGGGAGCUGUUACAGGUGUUGCAUGGCUGUCGUCAGCUCGUGUCGUGAGAUGUUCGGUUAAGUCCGCUAACGAGCGCAACCCGCGUUGUGUGUUAUAUGUGUCACACAAUACCGCCGGUAUUAAGUCGGAGGAAGGUGCGGAUGACGUCAAGUCAGCAUGACCUUUAUAUCCAGGGCUACACACACGCUACAAUGGACAGUACAACAGGUUGCCAAGCCGCGAGGCGGAGCCAAUCCUCUAAAGCUGUCCUCAGUUCAGAUUGCAGGCUGAAACUCGCCUGCAUGAAGUUGGAGUUGCUAGUAACCGCAGGUCAGCUAUACUGCGGUGAAUACGUUCCCGGGGAUUGCACACACCGCCCGUA
This 908-nucleotide ribosomal RNA is filed under the name uncultured bacterium. RNAcentral describes it as "bacterial SSU rRNA". It matches the Rfam family "Bacterial small subunit ribosomal RNA", at positions 479 to 1398 of the family's 1533-position model. The record is from RNAcentral.